ACAUAAAGAAAAACCCCAAUUUUUUUGGUUUUCCCUCUUAUAUUUUUCCUCUGUCUCAGACCCAUACCCCAAAUGACCCCGUACCCCUCUCUCUCCUCUUAGAUCCCAUACCCCUCUCUCCCCUCUCAGACCCCAAACCUCAAACCCCAAACCCCAAACCUCUAACCUCUGUAAGUCUCCCUCUCUCUUCUCUCAGACCUCAAACCCCAAACCGCAAAUGACUGAACCCCAAACCUCUGUAAAUCUCCCUCUCUCUUCUCUUAGACCGAUCAUCCUCUCGAGCAACGGAGACCUUCGAUCAUCCUCUCGGCAGCUCCAUCCUCUCGGGCAGCUCCAUCGUAGGCGGCGUCCCCACCUCUCCGAUCAUCGUAGGUGGCAGCUGACCAGAGUGAGUUGGAAAGAACAUAAGCAAGAAUAAGUGUUGCUGCUUCCUUAAAUUUCCCAGCCUUCUCAAGAAAAUCUAUCACAACUAGUAUAUCUCCUCUGAGGUAUUGUGUUGAUGCUGUGCAUUACAAAAAUGAAGAUGUGAUCAAACUUUUAGAGGAACAUGGUGCAAAGCCUCCGAUGGCUCAUUACAUGCAUGUUAAAAAUGCACGCGAAGUCCCCGAGUAUGAGAUCGAUCCCAAGGAGCUUGCUUUAUCUCAGAAAAUGAUAACCAAGAAAAGAAGAAAGUGCAAGAAUUGAAGCAGUGGAUUGAAGAAUUGGAAAAUGAAUUGAGGUGAGCAUAGACUAAUAAUAAAUACCAUCUUUGGUAUAUUUUGCUACUGCUUUAAUUGUGUUUGAGUUUGACUAAUAAUGACAUAAUGCUCUCUUGGUAUACGUUUGUGAAAUGGUUAUUGAUAUCAUAAAGCACUCUUUCAUAGCUAAAUUUAAUGGCAUAAAGCCCAUUGCAUACUCUCAGUUUCUUGAGGACCUCUGUUUUUUUCUCCUUUCUAUUAUGAGUUGAUAUUUGUUCAGUUGUAUCACAGCUGCAAUAUAUUCAAGUAACAAAAUGUAUAUUGUUGAAAGUGAAGUAUAUGCCUUUGAUAUAUUACUACAAUGGUCAACGAGUCUCAUUAUAUUGUGAUAUGUUUCCAGGUUAUUUAAUAGUGUCUCAUGAAAAAAGCAUAUGACCAAAGAUAAUUUGAGUUUAGGGAAUCAUUUGGCUAUCUUGUACUGUUGAAUAAAUGAAAAGUAUUACUGUAGGAUUUGUUAUUUGUUGUAUUAGUUAUUCUCUUGAUAGUACAUUUAGUUGUCAUCUCAUCCCAAUGAGUUUCAGGUUGACAAAAGCCAUAUGUAGUAAACUAUUUUGAAGUAUUUCUUCCCCAUUACAGUUUAACUUAGUCUUCAUUAUGAUUAUAGAUUUUUUCUGUAGUGAUUUUGCUCAUUUAUAAGUUUUGAUAGUUGCACACUUUUUGGGAUCAUGAAAGCUAUAAAUACAUAACAUUUCUUUGAUAGCGUGGGUAUUACUCACAUAGUCAAGCAUAAGCAGGAGAAUCACUGUUAUAUAGAUACCGAAGAUUCAAAGAAUAUUCUCACUUUUAUUUCACUGGCGCUAGCUUGUGUGGUCAGUUCUAGCUUAUACUUACUCUUAACAUGUUUUCAUGGUUUCAUGUGAAUGCAAUAAUCUGAUUUCUUACAAGUAUUAAUAAAUAAAAGCUUUAUUAUUUACAUGUUAAUUUUAUCUUUAGACCCAAAAUAACAUGCAUUCUAUUUUUGGCCCAUUAAUUUGAAUAUAUCCCAAAUUUGAAACCCAUUCUUUGUUUUUGUCAUAGUUUGAACAGUCUCAAUUACAAAUUAAUGGCCAAAACUGAAUCAACAGGAAAAAAAACUUGAUUAUUUAUUUAUAGAAAGAGGAGAUGGUGGUGGCAAGUCACGAGGCUAUGCACUCAGUUAGGUAGCCUGCAAGUCACGAGGACUGAGGUGAUGGUGUACUCUUCAAUGAACUCAUUUUUAAUUUUAUUUUGUAAUUAUAAUUGAAAGUGGCUAAUAAAGAUAUACGUAUAAAAAAAAAUUAGGUGGCCUGAUGAUACAAUCUAUAUAUAUAUAGUCGAUAUCUUCUUUUAUCCUUUUCCCUAGCUGUACAUUUUGUUAUCUUAUCCCUAAAUAAAUAAAAACAAAAGAGCAAAAAAAAUAUAGAGAACAAAUCAGCCUUCAAGCUUGUCAUAUAUGUAGUUUGGUAUUCAUAUAUAAUAUCAUAAUUAAUUAUAUAUAAGAAUUAGUUAUAUGUGUUAUUAUAUUGUAAUUGAAAAAUGAAGGAUAACCUUCAAAGUCGCAAUCACUUUGGUAAAGCUUUCUUAUUUAUUCAUUUCUUGAGCAGCGCAAAGAAGAGUUGAAGAAAAUUUGAUUUGAAAUAUGGUAGGGCACUUGUUGGACAUGUGAUUGAAAUAUGGAAUAGUAAUAUUUAUCAUCACUCUAGCUACAGCAUAUAUAAUAUAUAGAUCGUUGGUUGUGACUCUUCUACAUGCACAUAAAUAUUAUAAAGAUUGUAGGUAUAAAUAUAUGUAUAUUAGUUUUUUGUCAAAAGUGUAAUCCAUCUUUGUAUUUUGAAAAUAGCAUAAACUAAGUUAUGAUGUAGGUUUCUAUGUAUUUUAGGUGGACAAGUUAAGCAUUUGACUCAACCCAAGGCUGAGAAGAAAGAGUAAGAUGAGCAUUUGAUUUUUCUCUUCUUUGCAUUAUUAUUUAAUUAUUUAAUUCGGAUUUGACUCACUUUCAUUAUAUUAUAACAUUGUAAAUGUGUGUAUGUGCUGAGACAGACUUCAAAGAAACUUUUUUUGCAAGAGGUAUGUCUCUAACUUUUAUUUUAAUACUAUGCAAAUGUUAGAGGAGUUUGAAUAUCUUAAAUAUUCAUCCAUAGUGAAGUAGGUUCUGAGAUUGUUACUGUGUGCUGCGGUGAUAACGGAAGGUUAAGAACUUUUGUGUUUUAGUGAAGUAGGAUCUUAGAAAUUUUUGUGCUGCGGAGAUAAGAAAGAAAAUUUGUGUGUUGUUUGAAUUGAUGUAGAUUUGUCUAUGAUCAUCCUAUAAUUGAAUUGUGUUUGUUUGAUUGGUUUGAUUAUAACAUAUACUUGUAUGAAUGUACAUAUUGCGUGUUGGCAUACGCAUAUAGCAUAACUUUUUGUAUUUCUUGUUUUGUAUAUGUUAGUUUUCUUCUUGUCCCUUGUCUAAUGUCUUUGGUGAGGUGAUUUAUAACAUUGAGUAUCACUUUUGGUUUUUGUGAUCACAUUUAGGUUCAAUAGUAUAAAGUGCUAUACAAAAGUUUGACGUUAUUAGCAUAUUGGUUGAUAAUUUAUUAUUUCUAUUUUUGCACCAGAACUAUUAUCAAUUUGUGUUUAUUUUAAUUGAAGCAUAGCUUUAUGUUUCAUUGUAGUCUAAUAGUUUGAUCAUUUUCUUACUUAAAUAAUAUCUAAGUUAUUUUUUUUCUUCCAAAUUGUGAUUUUUUUCACCAUGUUCGAUGGCCUUAGCUGAAACAAUGUAUUCUUUAAACAAUUGAAAAUUUUCUAAAAAAUCAAUUGGUGAGAUUUGGGUUCAAUCAAUUGAGACAUAGGAUAUAUAUUUAUAUAUUUACUCGAUGAUUUCCUUUUCUGCACUAGAACUACUAUCUCAAUUUGUGUUUAUUUUAAUUGAAGCAUAGCUUUGUGUUUCAUUGUAUUCUAAUAGUUUGAUCAUUUACUUAUUUAAAUAAUAUCUGAGUUAUUUGUUUUCUUCCAAACUGUGAUUGUUUUUACCAUGUUCGAUGGCUUUAGCUGAAACAAUGUAUUCUUUAAACAAUUGAAAGUUUUCUAAAAAAAUCAAUUGGUGAGUUUUGGGUUCAAUCAAUUGAGACAUAGGAUAUAUAUUUAUAUAUUUACUCGAUGAUUUCCUUUUCUGCACCAAAACUACUUUCUCAAUUUGUGUUUAUUUUAAUUGAAGCAUAGCUUUGUGUUUCAUUGUAGUCUAAUAGUUUGAUCAUUUUCUUACUUAAAUAAUAUCUAAGUUAUUUUUUUCUUCCAAACUGUGAUUGUUUUUACCAUGUUUGAUGGCCUCAGUUGGAACAAUGUAUUCUUUAAACAAUUGAAAAUUUUCUAAAAUGGAUUGAUUAUCACUUUGUUAAAAAUGCUGUGCUUGCAUAGAAUUCAUAAUUAUAUGACUAUUUAUUAAAAGAAAUAUAUAUGCUUGACCAAAAGGAAUUAUGGUUUUUUAUUUUGCGUAGACUUUCAAACGUGAAUUAGAUUUAUAAAUUUGGAUUAGGCUUAUUCACAACUCGUUGUGUUACUUUAACAACUUUGUCUGGUAUGCUCGUUGUGUUACUUUAAUAACUUUAACAAAUGUCACCUGGUAUGCUUGUGUUACAUAUUAAUGAUCUAUUAUAUUUAUGUUCUUGGUGCUCUUAUUUAUAACUAUAUUAUCUUUUCUUUUCUUGCUAAGUACUAUGGACUUAGAAUCUUAUGCAUAUUACAUACACAGUGCAUGUCUUUAUAUGUGUGUAUAUAUGUAUAUUAAUUUCUCGAUGUUUAUUGUAUAUUUGCUAUUGUGCUAUGAAUGAUUGGUAAUUUGGUUUAUUAAUGUCUAUGUGAUUUCAUAAACUAACUAGCUUGAGUACUUUUAAAUUGAGCUUGACAGGUAUGCAUUCCCUAGUUUAAAGAAUUAAGACUAACUAUUUAAGCCAUAAGGUUAUCCAGUUUGAUAAGAAAAAUAAAAUUUUUAUAUAAAUUAUUUUUGUGACUGAAAACCACAAUCAUUCUUUUUAUUUCUUCUGCAACCUCAAGUUCUCUAUUUAUUUUAGUUUUGGUUUAACUUUAAUGGUGUUUAUUCUGUAUUGUAGGCUAAAACUCUACUUGGAUAUUUAAGAGAACCAAGAUAAUUAUAUAAGAGAACCAAGGCAACACGAAAUUCUUCUUCAAGUUGUUAGGCAAUGGCAAGUUAGACCAGCCUUGAUUGGAGAGCUCAGCGAGCAGAAUGUACAUAGCCAGAUGCCCGGCUGCCACGGUUGAGGUUUAGGCAGGGACGCGAGACUUAGAAACUGUCUGUUUUGCCUUAAUAUGGCUAGUGAAUAUUCAUGUACUUUUGGGAGUCUGUAAACUUAUUUAAACUCUGUUUUCUUAUGGGAUCCCAUGUUUAUAAUAGUAAAAUAUAUAAAGUGGUCUUUU
Molecule: long non-coding RNA, 5105 nt
Organism: Humulus lupulus (European hop)
Lineage: Eukaryota; Viridiplantae; Streptophyta; Magnoliopsida; Rosales; Cannabaceae
Exons: 6
Source: RefSeq, a predicted model, not a curated record